Picea glauca (white spruce) is the source of this 1130-nucleotide non-coding RNA. The record is from Rfam. NCBI's taxonomy places the organism in Eukaryota, Viridiplantae, Streptophyta, Pinopsida, Pinales, Pinaceae.
GGAGCAAUGCCACGUGAAGGCAGAAGGCCCACGGGUCAUGAACUUAUUUUCUCAGAGAAGAAACAAUGAUGGUAUCUGAGGAAUAAGCAUCGACUAACUCUAUUCCAGCAGCCGUGGUAAGACAGAGGAUGCAAGCGUUAUCCGGAAUGAUUGGGCGUAAAGCGUCUAUAGGUGGAUUUUCAAGUCCGCCGUCAAAUCCCAGGGCUCAACCCUGGACAGGCGGUGGAAACUACCAAUAUGGAGUACGGUAGGGGCAGAGGGAAUUUCCGUUGGAGCGGUGAAAUGCGUUGAGAUCGGAAAGAACACCAACGAUGAAAGCACUCUGCUGGGCCGACACUGACACUGAGAGAUGAAAGCUAGGGGAGCAAAUGGGAUUAGAUACCCUAGUAGUCCUAGCCGUAAAUGAUGGAUACUAAGUGCUGUGUGUAUCGACCCACGUAGUGCUGUAGCUAACGUGUUAAGUAUCCCGCUUGGGGAGUACGUCCGCAAGAAUGAAACCCAAAGUAAUUGAUGGGGGCUCGCACAAGCGGUGGAGCAUGUGGUUCAAUUCGAUGCAAAGUGAAGAACAUUACCAGGGCUUGACAUGCCGUGAAUCCUCCCCAAAGAGAGGAGUGCCUUCGGGAAUGCGGACACAGGUGGUGCAUGGCUGUCGUCAACUCGUGCCGUAAGGUGUUGGGUUAAGUCCCGCAACGAGCGCAACCCUCGUGUUUAGUUUCCAGCAAUGAGUUUGGAACCAUGAACAGACUGCUGGUGAUAAGCCAGAGGAAGGUGAGGAUGAUGUCAAGUCAUCAUGCCCCUUACACCCUGGGUGACACAUGUGCUACAAUGACUGGGACAAAGGGUCGUGACCCCAUGAGGGAAAGCUAACCUCAAAAACCCAUCCUCAGUUCGGAUUGCAGGCUGCAACUCGCCUGCAUGAAGAUGGAAUCGCUAGUAAUCGUCGGUCAGCCAUACGACGGUGAAUCCAUUGCCAGACCUUGUACACACCACCCAUCACACUAUGGGAGUUGUCCAUGCCCCAAUUCAUUACCUUAACCGCAAGGAGGGGGAUGCCAAAGGCUGGUCUAGUGACUGGAGUGAAGUCGUAACAAGGUAGCCGUACUGGAAGGUGCGGCUGGAUCACCUCCUUU